UUCUGGCUCAGGAUGAACGCAGCGACAGGCUAACACAUGCAAGUCGAGGGGCAGCAUAAAAGUAGCAAUACUUGGUGGCGACCGGCGCACGGGUGAGUAACGCGUAUGCAACCUACCUAUCAGAGGGGAAUAACCCGGCGAAAGUCGGACUAAUACCGCAUAAAACAGGGGCACCGCAUGGUGAUAUUUGUUAAAGAAAUUCGCUGAUAGAUGGGCAUGCGUUCCAUUAGGUAGUUGGUGAGGUAACGGCUCACCAAGCCGACGAUGGAUAGGGGAACUGAGAGGUUGGUCCCCCACACUGGUACUGAGACACGGACCAGACUCCUACGGGAGGCAGCAGUGAGGAAUAUUGGUCAAUGGGCGAGAGCCUGAACCAGCCAAGUCGCGUGGAAAAGGAAGAAGGAUCUAUGGUUCGUAAACUUCUUUUGCAGGGGAAUAAAGUGCAGGACGUGUCCUGUUUUGUAUGUACCCUGAGAAUAAGGAUCGGCUAACUCCGUGCCAGCCGCAGC
Molecule: ribosomal RNA, 509 nt
Filed under: uncultured bacterium
Lineage: Bacteria
Description: bacterial SSU rRNA
Rfam family: Bacterial small subunit ribosomal RNA
Source: RNAcentral